RNAcentral lists this ribosomal RNA (414 nucleotides) under uncultured microorganism. Its description in RNAcentral is "bacterial SSU rRNA". It matches the Rfam family "Archaeal small subunit ribosomal RNA", at positions 459 to 872 of the family's 1478-position model. The record is from RNAcentral.
CAGCCGCCGCGGUAAUACCGGCGGCCCGAGUGGCGGCCACUAUUAUUGGGCUUAAAGCGUCCGUAGCCGGGUUGGGAAGUCCUCCGGGAAAUCUGGCCGCUUAACGGUCAGAAUGCCGGAGGAUACUCCCAGCCUAGGGAGCGGGAGAGGCCGAGGGUAUUCCCGGAGUAGGGGUGAAAUCCUAUAAUCCCGGGAGGACCACCUGUGGCGAAGGCGCUCGGCUGGAACGGGUCCGACGGUGAGGGACGAAGGCCAGGGGAGCAAACCGGAUUAGAUACCCGGGUAGUCCUGGCUGUAAACGAUGCGGACUUUGUGUCGGACAAGCUAUGAGCUUGUCCGGUGCCGGAGGGAAACCGUUAAGUCCGCCGCCUGGGGAGUACGGCCGCAAGGCUGAAACUUAAAGGAAUUGGCGGG